RNAcentral lists this ribosomal RNA (403 nucleotides) under uncultured bacterium. Its description in RNAcentral is "bacterial SSU rRNA". It matches the Rfam family "Bacterial small subunit ribosomal RNA", at positions 958 to 1364 of the family's 1533-position model. The record is from RNAcentral.
AACGCGAAGAACCUUACCUGGGUUUGACAUGCACUAGACAGCCUCAGAGAUGGGGUUUCCCUUGUGGUUGGUGUACAGGUGGUGCAUGGCUGUCGUCAGCUCGUGUCGUGAGAUGUUGGGUUAAGUCCCGCAACGAGCGCAACCCUUGAUCUUAGUUGCCAGCAUUUAGUUGGGCACUCUAAGGUGACUGCCGGUGACAAACCGGAGGAAGGUGGGGAUGACGUCAAAUCAUCAUGCCCCUUAUGACCUGGGCUACACACGUGCUACAAUGGAUGGUACAAAGGGCUGCAAGACCGCGAGGUCAAGCCAAUCCCAUAAAACCAUUCUCAGUUCGGAUUGUAGGCUGCAACUCGCCUACAUGAAGCUGGAAUCGCUAGUAAUCGCGGAUCAGCAUGCCGCGGUG